UGCGGAGGAAAAGAAACUAACAAGGAUUCCCCUAGUAACUGCGAGUGAAGCGGGAAAAGCUCAAAUUUUGAAUCUGGCAGUUGUUUGGCUGUCCGAGUUGUAAUCUAGAGAAGCGUCUUCCGCGCUGGCCCGUGUACAAGUCUCCUGGAAGGGAGCGUCAUAGAGGGUGAGAAUCCCGUCUUUGACACGGACUACCAGGGCUUUGUGAUGCGCUCUCGACGAGUCGAGUUGUUUGGGAAUGCAGCUCAAAAUGGGUGGUAAAUUCCAUCUAAAGCUAAAUAUAGGCGAGAGACCGAUAGCGAACAAGUACCGUGAGGGAAAGAUGAAAAGAACUUUGGAAAGAGAGUUAAACAGUACGUGAAAUUGCUGAAAGGGAAACGCUUGAUGUCAGUCGCGUUUGUCAGGGAUCAACCUCGUUUGCGAGGCGUACUUCCUGGCAGACGGGUCAGCAUCAGUUUCGCUCGCCGUACAAGGGCAAGGGGAAUGUGGCACCCUUCGGGGUGUGUUAUAACCUUUUGUCAUAUGCGGUGGUUGGGACUGAGGAACUCGGCACGAUUCUCGUUUGUGCUUAGGAUGCUGGCAUAAUGGCCUUAAGCGA
RNAcentral lists this ribosomal RNA (598 nucleotides) under Imleria pallida. Its description in RNAcentral is "eukaryotic LSU rRNA". It matches the Rfam family "Eukaryotic large subunit ribosomal RNA", at positions 49 to 647 of the family's 3401-position model. Lineage: Eukaryota; Fungi; Basidiomycota; Agaricomycetes; Boletales; Boletaceae. The record is from RNAcentral.